Trichosurus vulpecula (common brushtail) is the source of this 1008-nucleotide long non-coding RNA. RefSeq lists it as uncharacterized. The transcript is spliced from 5 exons. The record is from RefSeq and is a predicted model, not a curated record. NCBI's taxonomy places the organism in Eukaryota, Metazoa, Chordata, Mammalia, Diprotodontia, Phalangeridae.
CACAAUAGUGCAGAACUAAACCAGAUUUGGCAAUUUUUUUUUUAAAUUGAUGAUGGAGAGAGUAGCUGUGUGCUCCCAGAAGUCUACUACAAAUCAAAAUAUGGAGUCCUAGCCUCAGCUUUGACAUGAAUUCUUUGUGUCACUCUGUAUAAGUCACCUAACUUUUCUAGGUGUCUUUUUUCCUGAGGAAAUUGUGAAAAAUCAAUGUUAACAAAAAGACAGAUUCUUGGUGUGAGACCUACUGCAUCAGACAUGUUUGGAACUCCCUUUGGCUGUGGACAAGUGAACAGGACUUGAGAGUGGAGUCAGGAGAUGCGGGCUGGAUCCCUGGCUCUGUCCCAGUCUCUUGCUGUCCUUGGCCAAGUCAAUUAACCUCCUCGUGCCCCAGAUUCCUGACAACUGGGCAAACCCUUACUACUACCUACUUCACAGCCCUGCUCCUGACUUCCAGACUUCAAAAACAAGGUUCUGCUGCCAUAUUAUCCUAGAACUUCCCUCAGUACCUGAGACCUCCUUGCUGGGCAAUAUCUCAUCAUCCCUACAGACUUCUCAACCUGGAAUUUACCCUUUCAAGGCCUACCCUCCUCUCCCUUGGGUUUGAUACAUAUGGCACAAUGCCAUGUAUGAAAGGGAGCAUUUAAAAAGAACCUUGGAAUCAACAGGAAAGACUUUUUGUGGUUUGGACUUCCCAUGAGACAUCCUCCACAGUGCUGGUGAAUACUAAUACACCAUCCUAUUUUUUGUGUCACCUGAAAUUUAUAAUCAGCAACUUGCAGAACUAAGUUAACUUCCCACUCACAUUUGCCAUACAAUCUUCUAUUUUUAAAAAAAAAAACAAAGUAUAUGUGAGAAACACUCUUUGUGGAAGGCCUUUAUAGAUAUAUUCCUCUGCUGAGAGAAACUGAUGAUUUUAAAUCAGCAAACAAUAAACACUUGUAAAGAUGUAAUCUGGUACAGAAAAAUAAGCGUACGAAAGUCUACCAGUUCUUUCCUUCCCUCCAUUUCAAU